UUUCCGUAGGUGAACCUGCGGAAGGAUCAUUGCAGUGUUCUCUGCCCUCACGGGUAGAAACGCCCACCCUUGUGUAUUAUAUCUUUGUUGCUUUGGCAGGCCGCCCUCGGGCACCGGCUCCGGCUGGAUCGCGCCUGCCAGAGGAAACCCAAACUCUGAAUGUUAGUGUCGUCUGAGUACUAUCUAAUAGUUAAAACUUUCAACAACGGAUCUCUUGGUUCUG
Molecule: unclassified non-coding RNA, 223 nt
Filed under: plant metagenome
Description: partial contains small subunit ribosomal RNA, internal transcribed spacer 1, and 5.8S ribosomal RNA
Source: RNAcentral